UGGGGAAUAUUGCACAAUGGGCGAAAGCCUGAUGCAGCAACGCCGCGUGAGCGAUGAAGGCCUUUGGGUCGUAAAGCUCUGUCCUAGGGGAAGAAUAAAUGACGGUACCCUUGGAGGAAGCCCCGGCUAACUACGUGCCAGCAGCCGCGGUAAUACGUAGGGGGCAAGCGUUAUCCGGAAUUAUUGGGCGUAAAGAGUGCGUAGGUGGUUUUGUAAGCGCGGGGUGAAAGGCAAUAGCUCAACUAUUGUAAGCCCUGCGAACUGUGAGACUUGGCUGCAGGGGAGGAAAGCGGAAUUCCUAGUGUAGCGGUGAAAGGCGUAGAUAUUAGGAGGAACACCAGUGGCGAAGGCGGCUUUCUGGACUGUAACUGACACUGAGGCACGAAAGCGUGGGGAGCAAACA
RNAcentral lists this ribosomal RNA (403 nucleotides) under uncultured bacterium. RNAcentral describes it as "bacterial SSU rRNA". It matches the Rfam family "Bacterial small subunit ribosomal RNA", at positions 355 to 774 of the family's 1533-position model. The record is from RNAcentral.